UAGGGAAUCUUCCGCAAUGGACGCAAGUCUGACGGAGCAACGCCGCGUGAGUGAAGAAGGAUUUCGGUUCGUAAAACUCUGUUGUUAGAGAAGAACAGCGCAUAGAGUAACUGUUAUGCGUGUGACGGUAUCUAACCAGAAAGCCACGGCUAACUACGUGCAAGCAGCCGCGGUAAUACGUAGGUGGCAAGCGUUGUCCGGAUUGAUUGGGCGUAAAGCGAGCGCAGGCGGUCAAUUAAGUCUGAUGGGAAAGCCCCCGGCUCAACCGGGGAGGGGCAUUGGAAACUGGUUGACUUGAGUGCAGAAGAGGAGAGUGGAAUUCCAUGUGUAGCGGUGAAAUGCGUAGAUAUAUGGAGGAACACCAGUGGCGAAGGCGACUCUCUGGUCUGUAACUGACGCUGAGGCUCGAAAGCGUGGGUAGCAAACAGG
This 429-nucleotide ribosomal RNA is filed under the name Bacteroidota bacterium. Its description in RNAcentral is "Bacteroidetes bacterium partial 16S ribosomal RNA". It matches the Rfam family "Bacterial small subunit ribosomal RNA", at positions 355 to 776 of the family's 1533-position model. Lineage: Bacteria; Pseudomonadati; Bacteroidota. The record is from RNAcentral.